RNAcentral lists this long non-coding RNA (759 nucleotides) under Apteryx owenii (little spotted kiwi). Its description in RNAcentral is "lncRNA (ENSAOWG00000008634.1)". Lineage: Eukaryota; Metazoa; Chordata; Aves; Apterygiformes; Apterygidae. The record is from RNAcentral.
UGUGCUUCUCGGUGCACCGGGGCGAGGGCGGCCCCCCCCCGGCGGCGUCCGACUGCGGCGCCGAGGGCUUCGCCAUCAACCUGCCCUGGGAGCAGCCCGGCAUGACGGACGGCGACUACCUGGCGGCCUUCCUGCGCCUGCUGCUGCCGGUGGCCCUGGAGUUCCAGCCGCAGCUGGUGCUCGUCGCCGCUGGCUUCGGCGCCCUCAUCGGGGACCCCGAGGGGGGGAUGAGCGUGACGCCCGGCUGCUUCGCCCACCUCACCCACCUGCUCAUGGCCCUGGCCGGCGGCCGCCUCGUGCUCUGCCUGCAGGUGAGGGCUGCGCGGGGGCCAUAGGGGCUGCGCGGGGGGCCAUAGGGACCGCCCAGGGGCUAUUGGAGGGCGCCACGGGGCUGUACGGACCGCUCCGGGGUGACGUAUGGGAGCUAUACGGGAUACGUCUGGGCGUUAUGGGGGCCCUGCUCAUCACCCCGGGAGUUAUAGGAGCCGUGUGGGCAUACCUGGAUGCUAUAGGGGCUAUACGGAGCGCCCGUGGGUGUUACAGGGGUGGCACCGUCCUCCCAAGAGCAUCGUAGGGGCCGUACGGGCAGCCCCCAAGUCUUAUAGAGGCCAUGGGGACCCCCCCAGGGGUGGUAUAGGGGUCCUGGGGGUGACCUGGGGGCAGUAUAGGGGAUGUAUGGGUAACACAGGGGUACUAUAGGAGUUAUAUGGGUGACCCGGGGGUGGUAUAGGGGUCCUAGGGGUGAUCCAAGGGUGGUAU